CCCCCAGACGGCCAUUUGUAGCGGUGCUAGAGGCUGCGUUCGGCUGUGCUGCAUAGCCGCGAAGAGGAGCGCGCUCCCUGGCCACUGCGUCCACUGCCCUGGAGCCUUCCCGGCUCUCCUGCGUCUCGGGCAACUCCCAGCCGGUCCGGGGGAUAGCGCUCCGCGGCCCUCCAGGCCACUCGCGGGCCCCGCGCGCUCUACCGCCUGUAACCCAGCCGGUCGCACUCGUCCCCGAAGCCGGGCCUAGGGCGCGCGGCGGCCGGGCUGGGCUCGGGGUGUCCCGAUGGCCGCGGCCGGCUGGCGCGACGGCUCCGGCCAGGAGAAGUACCGGCUCGUGGUGGUCGGCGGUGGCGGCGUGGGCAAGUCGGCGCUCACCAUCCAGUUCAUCCAGUCCUAUUUUGUGACGGACUAUGACCCAACCAUUGAAGACUCAUACACAAAGCAGUGUGUGAUUGAUGACCGAGCGGCCCGGCUGGACAUUUUGGAUACAGCUGGACAAGAGGAGUUUGGAGCCAUGAGAGAGCAGUACAUGAGGACAGGGGAGGGCUUCCUGUUAGUCUUCUCAGUCACGGAUAGAGGCAGUUUUGAAGAAAUCUAUAAGUUUCAAAGACAGAUUCUCAGAGUAAAGGACCGUGAUGAGUUUCCCAUGAUUUUAAUUGGCAAUAAAGCUGACCUGGACCAUCAGAGACAGCAUUCACUCUUAAUGAUAGCAGUGAGACGCAUGUACCAGGAAAUCUCAACUUUAAGCUCUGGGAUUUAUGCAAAUAUAAACAAAUGCUGCACAAUGACUUUAGCAAAGUACUGCUUUUGGGAUUCUUUGUGUUUAAAAUACAGAGGGUUAGUGAUAAUUAAUGGCUUCUGCCUUACCCUUCUGUCCUUGCUUGCUUCUUUCCUCUCCUCACUCUCUGCCUGCCUGCCUGCCUGCCUGUCUGUCUGUCAGUCUGUCUUCCACAGCUGUGGUCCUGUUUAGCACUCCUACUUGCCAACCCUCCCCACAUACUGAUGUGUCCUGUGUACCAAGUACUGGCCAAGACAACAAGGAGGUCCUGUGGCCUGAGAAGCCUGUGUCCAUUUUCCAAUUCUAGUCUGAGCAAGCCAAGCUGAUUUUCUCGUAAGGUCAUUUCCCACAAGCACACCCCCCACCCCACCCCCCCACACACACCUUUUUUGGCCAUGACUAUAUUCUUACUCUGCCGCCACUUAGCUAGAGACUCUAUUUAGUUCUUAGAUCACUGCCUCAGGCAGGCUCUCCCUGACCCCUCAAUAGACCUUGUUUCAGCACUUUCUGUUUUCUCUUUCUUUACCAUCACAUCUAAUGUUUCUGGUGUCAUCUCCAGGCUAAACAUUGUGAGUUAGUCAGAUGUCCUUUUAUAGCAAUAGGGGUUGGUUCCAGGACCCCCCAUAGACACCAGAAUCUCUAGAUAUAUAAAAAUCCCUUUUAAACAGAAGCAGAGAUUUUGUAUAUAACCUUUGCAUAUUCUUCUGUGUAUUUGAAAAAAUACUGUAUUUUAAUGUCUGGUAUGGCAUAAAUGCUAUGUAAAUACUUGUUCUGCAUGUUUAGGGACGAUGACCAGACUAAAGAUGAGUAUGCUCACUAUAGUUACCAUUCAGCCCACGGGUUGGUUUUAUUUUAUUCUGGAGACAGAGUUUCUGGUAGUCUCAAAUUGCUAUGUAGCCAAGGAUGGCCCCAAAUUCCUGAUGUUUCUUUCUCUACCCACAUCCAGCUCAGUCCAUGUGUUUUUGACUUGCAGUUGACUGAGCCCACGGACAUUGCAGGCCAACUGUGUUUGUAUUACAGGUACAUUCUUCUGAACUGUGCAGAGGUGGGCUUCAUAUUGUAUGGCACUGUGGCAUCUGUCCAUUCCUUACGAUAAGUCAGCCUGGACUCCAGGUGGCGCAGUAGCGCAUAUGUAUGUAGCCAGGCUUAGAUGUGGUCCAACAGGGUUGCUAAUACAUGCCGUGCCUUAUACACAAUUGCUGCUAUCCAUUUUAGGUAACACAGGAAGAAGGGCAGCAGUUAGCUCGGCAGCUCAAGGUCACGUAUAUGGAGGCAUCGGCAAAGAUCAGGAUGAAUGUAGAUCAAGCUUUCCACGAACUUGUCCGGGUUAUAAGGAAAUUUCAAGAGCAAGAAUGCCCUCCUUCACCAGAACCAACCCGGAAAGAAAAAGACAAGAAAGGCUGCCAUUGUGUCCUUUUCUAAGAGUCCCUUGAGGUUUAGCUAACAACUGCCAGGGCAGCCCUCAUCUCCGCUACCGUUUACAUCAUCUGGUACCUGGUAGCCUUAGACUGGUGAUCACCGUGUUAGCCUUACACCAAGAAGCUGGCUAAUCCUUUAUGUGAAGCUAAUGUAACAGUCUUUCCCAGACUUGUGUAAAGGAAACACUAAGGCUGCUUCAGACAUUAUCUGAUUCCUUUAAAACACAUGUCUACACACACAGAUGCAGUCUUCAAGGGCUUUUAAUAGAGGUGAACCAAGUUUGGAGCCUGAGCUAUUUGCUAAGCUGACGUCAUAGGUUGUGAAGUAAUUUUUAACUUCUGGAAUCAUGUUGCCUACUGUUACUCUAAAUAGAAAUAUAGGGAAGGUUUUUUUUUUUUUUAAUGUGAAUUUUUGCCUAUCUUUAAAACUUUUGAUGUCAACUUUCAUUAACCUUAAAUACACUGAAUGGAAUCUACAAAAGUGAGACAUCUCAGACCUUUCCUGAUGCUACGGCUUUUGUUUUUCCGGUGGCCAGAAUACCAAAAUGCCUGUUGUAUUUAUGGAUUAAAAACUGCUGAUUAAGCCUUGGUUAUCAUGCCUCCUUCAAGAUGACAAUAUUCUCUGUGGCCAAAUGUUUGGACUGGUUCUGCACUUAGGUGUUUCGGUGAACUUGAUUUCUUUUCACAGCCGUGGUAAGGGUAAGCGUGAAUGGUUCCUGUCUGUCUUCCUUUUUCAAGUAUUCCUGGUGAAGGAUUAAAAAAGAAAAUCCACACAAGCUAAAGCUGUUUUUGUUUGAUGUAAUAUAAAAUAUGGAAUUGAUCUUUCCAAAGUCAGAGAUGAUUAAUGUUUUUGCUAUAUACUUUUAUACGUUAUUUUCUUAUCAAACUAGUUAACAAGUAUUUUUAUAUGUUUGUAAGCGAAUAUGCUUUCACAGCGUACCUUGUGUAUAUGUAAAGAUGAGUAUUUAAGUCUCACUGUUCACUGUUAACUGACAAAGAGAACAUGGAAGCCACGGUGACCAUGGCUUUUGCUUGCUGGUGUGGUCCUUGUUACAUCCACUGGUGGCCAAUAAUCAGAAAACCUUCCCAAGAGAAUGCAACAGGACGAGACUGUGAAGUCACGUUCAAUGUCCCCACUAGAUAUUGACUGUUAUAUCAAGUAUUAUGUGUAAAACCUCUAUUUGACAAUUAGUGUAACUGUGGAUGGCUUCUGACUUUGUUUUUAACUCUGUGGAUUGUGUUUAAGCAAUUCAAAGUGUGUUCCUGGUUUUGAGACUCUCAGUGGUAUUGCACAGUGGUCACUUUAUUGAAUGUGUACAACAGCCCCAUGAAGUUUAUAAAGUGGACCCUUGUAUAGCUUCAGGUGCUAGAAUUAAAAGUUGAUCUGUUAUCACCA
Molecule: non-coding RNA, 3592 nt
Organism: Arvicanthis niloticus (Nile rat)
Lineage: Eukaryota; Metazoa; Chordata; Mammalia; Rodentia; Muridae
Source: RefSeq, a predicted model, not a curated record